GUUUUUAUAGCUCAACGGUAGAGCAAAAUAUUGUUAAUAUUUUGAUAGAUGUUCAAUUCAUCUUAAAGGCU
RNAcentral lists this transfer RNA (71 nucleotides) under Penicillium sp. ShG4C. Its description in RNAcentral is "tRNA-Asn". It matches the Rfam family "tRNA". Rfam says of the family: Transfer RNA (tRNA) molecules are approximately 80 nucleotides in length. The record is from RNAcentral. Lineage: Eukaryota; Fungi; Ascomycota; Eurotiomycetes; Eurotiales; Aspergillaceae.